GGUCACCGCUAUUGGAGUUCGCUUAAGCCAUGCGAGUCAAGGGGUCCUUUUGGACACCGGCGAACUGCUCAGUAACACGUGGAUAAUCUGCCCUUGGGCGGGGGACAGCUUCGGGAAACUGAAGGUAAUACCCCAUAGGUCAAGAUUGCUGGAACGCUUCUUGACUAAAAGCUCCGGCGCCCAAGGAUGAGUCUGCGGCCUAUCAGGUUGUAGUGGGUGUAAUGGACCCACUAGCCAGCGACGGGUACGGGUCGUGAGAGCGAUCGCCCGGAGAUGGAUUCUGAGACACGAAUCCAGGCCCUACGGGGCGCAGCAGGCGCGAAAACUUUGCAAUGUGGGAAACCACGACAAGGGAACUCCAAGUGCCAGCACAUGCGUGUUGGCUUUUCUCAAACCUAAAAAGUUUGAGGAAUAAGGGCUGGGUAAGACGGGUGCCAGCCGCCGCGGUAAUACCCGCAGCCCGAGUGGUGAUCGUUAUUAUUGGGCCUAAAACGUCCGUAGCCGGUUCAGUAAAUCUCUGGGUAAAUCGACUAGCUUAACUAGCCGAAUUCCGGAGAGACUGCUGAACUUGGGAUCGGGUGAGGGUCGAGGUACUUCUGGGGGAGGGGUGAAAUCCUUUAAUCCCAGAAGGACCACCGGUGGCGAAGGCGUCGACCUAGAACGACUCCGACGGUAAGGGACGAAACCCUGGGGCGCAAACGGGAUUAGAUACCCCGGUAGUCCAGGGCGUAAACGCUGUGGGCUUGGUGUUGGGUGUCCUACGAGGGCAUUCAGUGCCGUAGAGAAGUUGUUAAGCCUACUGCCUGGGGAGUACGCUCGCAAGAGUGAAAC
Molecule: ribosomal RNA, 831 nt
Filed under: uncultured archaeon
Lineage: Archaea
Description: bacterial SSU rRNA
Rfam family: Archaeal small subunit ribosomal RNA
Source: RNAcentral